AUUCAGAGAAAAUUUGAAUGUACGUAUGAAGAAUGGCUACCUACCGCGUCUUUAUUCGCAUUUAAAGAAUUAAAAUCUGUAAUGAAAAUUGAAAUUUUUAUCAUUUCAUUAGUCUUAUAAUGGUGUAAUAAUGAAGUAGAGAUCAUGAUCAAACAUGGUGUUUGUUUCAAGUGUAGUUAUAGUAGGAUAAUUUGAAUAUUCUGGUACAAUAACCUACCGGUACAUGGUACGUUUUCCAAGUAGUACAUAAAUGACAAUGAAUAGUGAAAUUGGAGUGUGAGGUGGACCAGACAACAUUAGAGUAGUGAAUAGUGAGAUGAAACGGUGACAUAGAUUAGGAUAUUAGCAAAUAGCUGAGAAUGGCAUGGCUGAACUCGUGCAUUAGCAGUCAGGGCGAGAGGAUCCAGCCCUCUGUCAGCUCACCCCUUCAUCUGCUGCUCAAGAGUUAUGCUUUACUCAGUGUUGAUGUCCUUGACAUUGCAUUUGCAUAAGAAAUCCGAAGCGGCGUGGGCGGAGUAUAAUUGUGUAAUCAUGCGCAGGAAGCCAACGAUCAAUUGAGAAGUACCUGAAUCCGCAUUAUCUAUAAAUAGUAUUCUGUUUCGACUCCAACCAUACAUCAACGGACAAGAUUUACAAUGCGACUCAAGCGGUCAUCAAACAAUGAGAAUUAUGUGCACUUCCUUCAGUUGAAUCAUGGAAUAAAUUAGAAUCAGAAAUUCAAAUAAAAACCUGAUUCAUCUUAUAUGGUUAGGUAUUUGUAUCACGAAUACGCAGGUAGGGAGGUACAAUACUAUAAUCUUGUUUGUGAUGAAUUUCAAAUUUCAAUGCAUUUGGUUGAGACAUAGGCUACUCUUGGAGAUAACGAUUUUCCAAGUAUUUUC
Long non-coding RNA from Nilaparvata lugens (brown planthopper), 881 nucleotides. RefSeq lists it as uncharacterized. Lineage: Eukaryota; Metazoa; Arthropoda; Insecta; Hemiptera; Delphacidae. The record is from RefSeq and is a predicted model, not a curated record. The transcript is spliced from 3 exons.